GCGGGGACUGGCUGGCUGCGGCGGGGGAAAUGGGGCCUUUCCCCGCUAGGGGGCGCUGGCUCCGAUCCGGGGCCGGGGCAGGGGGCUGGCUGGGGGGCUCCGGGCCCCUUUGGCUCAGCAGUUCGAUGGCCCUGGGGGUGAAUGGAGUUUGCUGCGUCUCAGCCCCCUCCCGGCCCCGUCCAGACCCUUCACUGGCAGCCCCAGCAAAGAGGCCGACGGAGGGGUGGGUCGAGGGGACCCAGUCCCGUCCCCCCCUGUCCCGGGGCAGGAGGGCCCGGGGGGCGGGGAUCCACCUUCUGCUGCCCUGGGGGAUCCUCAGAGUAGUUGGGACCGGGGCUCUUUGUACCCCAGUAGGACCCCUCGAUCGCAGGGGGAGCUGGGGGGGAGCAUAACCGGUGGCAGCUGGCACAAGCAGGCGCCCAGGGGCUGACGUUUCCCCUUUGUCCAGCAGGUGGUGCUGGCACCCAACGCAGCCCCCAGCCUCCAGCCUCCAACCCGACGCUCGUUCAGUGACAUGAGCUGUUAGGGUCUCAGCCCCGGUCCUACUGGUCAGAACCAGUCUGGGAUCCCGGCUCCCAUCCAGCACCAGGGCGGGGGACUGGCUGGCUCAGGGAGGUUCCUGCUUUCCCGGAAAUCCGCCCUGGCCAGACAUCUGUAAAUCGCUUCCAGAGCCCAGCUGUGCAGAGCAGUAGGGGUGGGCUGGGAGGGACCCUGAUCCCCCCGUCACUAGCCUCGUCUCGCCUCUAAUCUGUCCGCCCUGGCCCAGCCUGGGCGCUGAGUAACCGGCAUGAAUAAUACCGAACUCAUCUGCUGCUGGCACAGGGCUCGGCCUGGAGCUGGUGGCCCAGGGCAGGGAAGGGACAAACAGGGGAAUUUCUACACUGCAAACUUCAGGCCACCGCUCACUUAAGAGGUGCAGUGUAUGGGGCUGGGAGCCCGGGUUCUCCCCGGCGCUCCACUGCUUCCCGGCCUCCCUGCCGGGCCCCCUGGCCUCUGCACUGCGGGGCUCCCGGAAAGGGUGGGGAGCGGGGAGCCUGGGCGGUCGCCGGGAUCUAGCGGGAGCCCCACAGCCACCCGGGGAGGAAAACCCGAAUGGUGAGCUGGGCACCGGGUUCACCACAGGAGCCUACUAGCCUUUCUUGUCAGUUUCAGGGCCCCCCCAGCUGCGAAAUUGACAAGAAGGACAGCCACCCUCUGAUGUAAGGAAGGCAGGGUGACGGUGUCGCCCUAACCAGACCCACAUAAGCCCUGCGCCUCCGUGGAGCUGGGGUUGUUAAGUCAGGGUGGGGGGCGCUUACACCGGCAGCAGCCAGGCUGUAGCGUGGACAGUGACGGCGGUAGAUCGACGCACGCCGCUGGGCUGGGGUCUUAAAGGACCCGCUGCUAACUGGAAGGAGCAGGGAGCCUUUGGAGCAGGAUCAGCGCUGUUUAGUAGCGUGGGGCUGGAGCAGGCAGUUAGCUCGAGCACUGCCCCGGUGGUAGCCCCUUGAUCACCCCAUGUGCCAGUGGAGAGACUGGCUGUAAAAUUCACAAGCUGCGCACAGAGAUGCCAGCCAGGAUGCCACAGCGUGGCACUAGGGGGCACUCUGCUCUGGAGAGCGGGGUGGGAGGGCUCUCCCCUGGCAGUCAGGGCUGGCCCCAAUGCCCCAGGAUGGCACUAGGGGGCGCUGCGCUGAGGGAGCAGAGCCUGGGGCUCUCCCCUGGCAGUCAGGGCUGGCCCCGAUGCCCCAGGAUGGCACUAGGGGGCGCUGUGCUGCAGGGAGCAAGGUCAGACUCCUGUAUAGACAGCCCCUGCGCCCCACCCCAGACUUGGGUGCAACUCAGCACCGGGCCAGGGGUCCAUGUAUAAAGUGAAGGCUUAUCAAUAAUUAUCCAAAUUAAAACAAGGAAAGUUAAUGACAAGGGUCGAGAAGACAGGUUUUUCAAAAAAAUACAUUUUAUUUGCCACAGUUCAUAAAAUAAACCCAAUAAAAAUCUCUCCU
Caretta caretta (loggerhead turtle) is the source of this 1982-nucleotide long non-coding RNA. RefSeq lists it as uncharacterized. Lineage: Eukaryota; Metazoa; Chordata; Testudines; Cheloniidae. The record is from RefSeq and is a predicted model, not a curated record.